This 434-nucleotide ribosomal RNA is filed under the name uncultured Clostridium sp. RNAcentral describes it as "partial 16S ribosomal RNA". It matches the Rfam family "Bacterial small subunit ribosomal RNA", at positions 341 to 792 of the family's 1533-position model. The record is from RNAcentral. Lineage: Bacteria; Bacillati; Bacillota; Clostridia; Eubacteriales; Clostridiaceae.
ACGGGAGGCAGCAGUGGGGAAUAUUGCGCAAUGGGGGAAACCCUGACGCAGCGACGCCGCGUGAGUGAUGAAGUAUUUCGGUAUGUAAAGCUCUAUCAGCAGGGAAGAUAAUGACGGUACCUGACUAAGAAGCCCCGGCUAACUACGUGCCAGCAGCCGCGGUAAUACGUAGGGGGCAAGCGUUAUCCGGAUUUACUGGGUGUAAAGGGAGCGCAGACGGCUUUGCAAGUCUGAUGUGAAAGGCAGGGGCUCAACUCCUGGACUGCAUUGGAAACUGUAGGGCUAGAGUGUCGGAGAGGUAAGCGGAAUUCCUAGUGUAGCGGUGAAAUGCGUAGAUAUUAGGAGGAACACCAGUGGCGAAGGCGGCUUACUGGACGAUAACUGACGUUGAGGCUCGAAAGCGUGGGGAGCAAACAGGAUUAGAUACCCUGGUA